This 851-nucleotide ribosomal RNA is filed under the name Pseudofusicoccum adansoniae. RNAcentral describes it as "partial large subunit ribosomal RNA". It matches the Rfam family "Eukaryotic large subunit ribosomal RNA", at positions 68 to 937 of the family's 3401-position model. The record is from RNAcentral. Lineage: Eukaryota; Fungi; Ascomycota; Dothideomycetes; Botryosphaeriales; Botryosphaeriaceae.
ACUGGGAUUGCCUUAGUAACGGCGAGUGAAGCGGCAAUAGCUCAAAUUUGAAAGCUGGCGUCUUUGGCGUCCGCGUUGUAAUUUGUAGAGGAUGCUUCGGCGAGGGCUCCGGUCUAAGUUCCCUGGAACGGGACGUCAUAGAGGGUGAGAAUCCCGUAUGUGAUCGGUUGCCUAAGCCAUGUGAAGCUCCUUCGACGAGUCGAGUUGUUUGGGAAUGCAGCUCUAAAUGGGAGGUAAAUUUCUUCUAAAGCUAAAUACCGGCCAGAGACCGAUAGCGCACAAGUAGAGUGAUCGAAAGAUGAAAAGCACUUUGGAAAGAGAGUUAAAAAGUACGUGAAAUUGUUGAAAGGGAAGCGCUUGCAACCAGACUCGUCCGCAGUUGCUCAGCCGGUCUCUUGACCGGCGUACUCUUCUGCGGCCGGGCCAGCAUCAGUUCGGGCGGCCGGAUAAAGGCCUCGGGAAUGUAGCACCCUUCGGGGUGUGUUAUAGCCCGGGGUGGAAUGCGGCCAGCCUGGACUGAGGAUCUCGCUUCGGCUAGGAUGCUGGCGUAAUGGUUGUAAGCGGCCCGUCUUGAAACACGGACCAAGGAGUCUAACAUCUAUGCGAGUGUUUGGGUGUCAAACCCAUGCGCGUAAUGAAAGUGAACGGAGGUGGGAACCCUCACGGGUGCACCAUCGACCGAUCCUGAUGUCUUCGGAUGGAUUUGAGUAUGAGCAUAGCUGUUGGGACCCGAAAGAUGGUGAACUAUGCCUGAAUAGGGUGAAGCCAGAGGAAACUCUGGUGGAGGCUCGCAGCGGUUCUGACGUGCAAAUCGAUCGUCAAAUUUGGGUAUAGGGGCGAAAGACUAAUCG